GACGAACGCUGGCGGCGUGCUUAACACAUGCAAGUCGAACGAUGAACCCGGAGCUUGCUCUGGGGGAUUAGUGGCGAACGGGUGAGUAAAACGUGAGUAACCUGCCCUGGACUCUGGGAUAAGCGUUGGAAACGACGUCUAAUACCGGAUAGGACCUUGGAUCGCAUGAUCUGGGGUGGAAAGAUUUUUCGGUCUGGGAUGGACUCGCGGCCUGUCAGCUUGUUUGUGAGGUAGUGGCUCUCCCAGGGGUCGACGGGUAGCCCGCCUGAGAGGGGAACCGGCCACACUGGGGACGACACAGGGCCCAGACUCCUGCGAGAGGCAGCAGUGGGGAAUAAUGCACAAUGGGCGAAAGCCUGAUGCAGCAACGCCGCGUGCGGGAUGACGGCCUUCGGGUUGUAAACCACUUUUAGUAGGGAAGAAGGGCUUCGGCUUGACGGUACCUGCAGAAAAAGGACCGGCUAACUACGUG
This 472-nucleotide ribosomal RNA is filed under the name uncultured bacterium. RNAcentral's name for it is "partial 16S ribosomal RNA". It matches the Rfam family "Bacterial small subunit ribosomal RNA", at positions 28 to 507 of the family's 1533-position model. The record is from RNAcentral.